This 508-nucleotide ribosomal RNA is filed under the name uncultured bacterium. RNAcentral describes it as "partial 16S ribosomal RNA". It matches the Rfam family "Bacterial small subunit ribosomal RNA", at positions 28 to 507 of the family's 1533-position model. The record is from RNAcentral.
GACGAACGCUGGCGGCGUGCCUAAUACAUGCAAGUCGAACGCUUCUUUCCUCCCGAGUGCUUGCACUCAGUUGGAAAGAGGAGUGGCGGACGGGUGAGUAACACGUGGGUAACCUACCCAUCAGAGGGGGAUAACACUUGGAAACAGGUGCUAAUACCGCAUAACAGUUUAUGCCGCAUGGCAUAAGAGUGAAAGGCGCUUUCGGGUGUCGCUGAUGGAUGGACCCGCGGUGCAUUAGCUAGUUGGUGAGGUAACGGCUCACCAAGGCCACGAUGCAUAGCCGACCGGAGAGGGUGAUCGGCCACACUGGGACUGAGACACGGCCCAGACUCCUGCGGGAGGCAGCAGUAGGGAAUCUUCGGCAAUGGACGAAAGUCUGACCGAGCAACGCCGCGUGAGUGAAGAAGGUUUUCGGAUCGUAAAACUCUGUUGUUAGAGAAGAACAAGGACGUUAGUAACUGAACGUCCCCUGACGGUAUCUAACCAGAAAGCCACGGCUAACUACGUG